RNAcentral lists this ribosomal RNA (487 nucleotides) under uncultured bacterium. Its description in RNAcentral is "bacterial SSU rRNA". It matches the Rfam family "Bacterial small subunit ribosomal RNA", at positions 38 to 507 of the family's 1533-position model. The record is from RNAcentral.
AGACGACGCUGGGCGGCGUGGAUUAGGCAUGCAAGUCGAACGGUAUCAUCCUUUCGGGGGUGAGAGAGUGGCGAACUGGUGAGUAACACGUAGGUUAUCUACCCUCAAGACGGGACAACCCAGGGAAACUUGGGCUAAUACCGGAUGUGAGCAACUUUUAGUUGUUUGAAAGGUGGCGUAAGCUGUCGCUUGGGGAUGAGCCUGCGUCCUAUUAGUUAGUUGGUGAGGUAACGGCUCACCUAGGCAAUGAUAGGUAGGCGGCCUUAACGGGUGGUCGCCCACACUGGGAUUGAGAUACGGCCCAGACUCCUACGGGAGGCAGCAGUCGAGAAUAGUCUACAAUGGUCGGAAGACUGAUAGUGCGACGCCGCGUGAACGAUGAAUCCCUUCGGGGUGUAAAGUUCUUUUAUAUGUGAGCAGUGCUUCUUAUAUUAACAGUAUGGGGAGAGAGAUAUUAGCAUAUGAAUAAGCAACGGCUAACUCCGUG